Macaca fascicularis (crab-eating macaque) is the source of this 149-nucleotide unclassified non-coding RNA. It matches the Rfam family "Metazoan signal recognition particle RNA". Rfam says of the family: The signal recognition particle (SRP) is a universally conserved ribonucleoprotein. NCBI's taxonomy places the organism in Eukaryota, Metazoa, Chordata, Mammalia, Primates, Cercopithecidae. The record is from Ensembl.
GCCGGGCGUGGUGGUGCAUGCCUGUAGUCCCAGCUACUCAGGGAGGCUGAGGUGGGAGGAUUGCUUGAGCCCGGGAGGUUCAGAUUGCAGUGAGCCGUGAUUGUGCCACUGCACCACAGCCUGGGCAACAGAGUGAGACCCUGUCUCAA